Molecule: ribosomal RNA, 256 nt
Filed under: uncultured bacterium
Lineage: Bacteria
Description: partial 16S ribosomal RNA
Rfam family: Bacterial small subunit ribosomal RNA
Source: RNAcentral
UACAGAGGGUGCGAGCGUUGUCCGGAAUCACUGGGCGUAAAGGGCGCGUAGGUGGCGACCCAAGUCGAUGGUGAAAGCUCGCCGCUCAACGGCGAGUCGGCCACCGAUACUGGGUUGCUGGAGCACUGUAGAGGCAGAUGGAAUUCCGGGUGUAGCGGUGGAAUGCGUAGAGAUCCGGGAAGAACGACCGGUGGCGAAGGCGGUCUGCUGGGCAGUUGCUGACACUGAGGCGCGACAGCGUGGGGAGCAAACAGGG